Molecule: ribosomal RNA, 465 nt
Filed under: Vreelandella stevensii
Lineage: Bacteria; Pseudomonadati; Pseudomonadota; Gammaproteobacteria; Oceanospirillales; Halomonadaceae
Description: partial 16S ribosomal RNA
Rfam family: Bacterial small subunit ribosomal RNA
Source: RNAcentral
CCUACGGGGGGCUGCAGUGGGGAAUAUUGGACAAUGGGGGCAACCCUGAUCCAGCCAUGCCGCGUGUGUGAAGAAGGCCCUCGGGUUGUAAAGCACUUUCAGUGAGGAAGAACGCCUGGUGGUUAAUACCCAUCAGGAAAGACAUCACUCACAGAAGAAGCACCGGCUAACUCCGUGCCAGCAGCCGCGGUAAUACGGAGGGUGCGAGCGUUAAUCGGAAUUACUGGGCGUAAAGCGCGCGUAGGUGGCUUGAUAAGCCGGUUGUGAAAGCCCCGGGCUCAACCUGGGAACGGCAUCCGGAACUGUGAAGCUAGAGUGCAGGAGAGGAAGGUAGAAUUCCCGGUGUAGCGGUGAAAUGCGUAGAGAUCGGGAGGAAUACCAGUGGCGAAGGCGGCCUUCUGGACUGACACUGACACUGAGGUGCGAAAGCGUGGGUAGCAAACAGGAUUAGAUACCCUAGUAGUC